GUUACCGUUUUUACUUUCUUGCUGCUGGCCUCCCGGGCUCUGUGCCUCUGCAGCAGCUCUUUGACUGUGGUCUUCACUCGGACGCCCUGGUACACCCUCGGCUUAUCUGCAUGAAGAGAACAGCAUGUCAUUCAUGUUUACCAAACACCCUCCUUGGAGCAGACAAUACCAAACAAACUCUUCUCCUCUCCCCAGCCCCCAAACUCCUUCUCCCUCCUCCCGCAGCUUAAGCCCAGCAUUUGUUUUCCUCCCUCAAAUAUAUUUCUUUUAAAUUUAAUACAUUUCCCCUAAUAAACUGCAGUCUCUUCCUGAAAUGAUUAUGUCGCUAUAUUAUUUGACACCCUACCAAUUGUUGAAUGCACGGUUUUGUGGUAGCAGACGUUGGUAACACAUAUUGCAUGUUAUAAUAAUUAACGAACUGUAGUUUGAGCUAUGUGUAGGGCUUUAGUGUGUAAAGAUUUGUCCGAAUCCGCGGUGCGUAAAAGUGCGUUAUUAGCGCUCAGUGCGCACUGCGGCUCUGGGUGUGUCCCGACCCCAGAGACCCCAGUGCUCCCGGUCAGGGCUCCCUCUUUACGGCACCAAAGGCUCUGCGUCUCCUGUUACGCGGUCAGCAGACUCUCACUGCAGUCUGUGUAUGAUCCGCGCUGCCGAGCCACCCCGCCCAGACCAGGAACAAAAGAAAGCGGCACAAAAUGCGUUACGGAAAAAAUGCUCCAAAAUCAUUUCCAGCUGAAAAUCCGACGUGAAACUCACCAGACAUGAUGGCAGAGAUGAGAAGAGGCUCCCUGGAGAAGACCUGUGGGACUCCACAACGUCCUGUUCUGCCUCAGCAAAAUGGCCAAGAACGAAAUUUGCGCAAAAGUCUCCAAAAAUCUCAACAGAAAUGUCUUACAGUAGAGUCAGAGCAUACAACAAUAUUGUAAUAUAGCUGGGGACAUAUUAGUUUGAGAUUUUCUCCCUCCAUGCCUACUAUUUAAAACCCCUAGAACUCAAUGAUUUGACAAUGAUUUGAUUGCGCGUUACUUUCAAUUUGAAUAUUCAGAGGCAACUGACUUAUAUAGAUUUUUCAAUGAAAAUCACUACGCGUGGAGAUCGUAUAAGCUCCACUUUAAUGUAAUAUAAUAGUGUUUUACACUUUGACCAAAAAGAAACCAUACUUUUAUUAAAUUUUAUCCUCCUUUUGCAUUAACAGAGCAUCACACCCCCUCAUUAAGCACUACAGCAAUGGAUGCUUCUUGUGCGCAUUUCAAACACCGCAAUUCACUUUAAUCUGCGAUCACAGGUCUCAUGCGGCCACUCCGCAUUCAAACAAUAUGUCCAAACAUAUUUUUGAGCUUUAUUUCAGAGAAAAAUGCAGAAAAGUGGGACAUAAGUGGGCGUGGCAAAGGGCAGUAGCCAUCUUUGCCAUCGCAGGCCUGAAGCUCCUCUUGCAGCUGCAGUGCAGUCGCCUGCUGAGUGCUGCACGAGCCUCAGCAGCUCGCAGCUUUUUCACGACUAUCUUUUAGAAGCUUUUAUUUAUUCAAAUUAAAAAAAAAAAAAUCACAAUCAUUACAAUGCUGCCUGUGAAGAUCCCCUGUUUGGCAGAGUGUCUUUUCAUAUUUGGCAUACUUAAUUCGGCAACAAAUCACUUUUUGGAUUGAUCACAGUUUAUUAAAGCUUUUGCUUUUUCUUUCUUAAAAAAAAAAAAUAUAUAUAUAUAUAGAUAGUUGCAUGAAGAGCUUUGGUAGAGCUUUCUGCACACCAGACAGCAACAAUACACCAGCAUGUAUAACAUUGUUUGAUAGACUUUUGCGCAUGUAUCAUGCACAUGAUAAGGAACUCAGUUAUUAGAAAUAACAUCAAGCAUUGUACAUUAUGACCUAUUAAGCUGUGAACAUCUGGACCAGUGUGCUCUCUCAAACUGGUCAAACGUUUGUCAUCAAACCUAUACCUAACUAUAACGACCGUACUUUCCAUGACUGUCAUUAUUACCACAACCAUGGUUAUUAUUUGUUGCAGUGGCAGUAUGUGUAGUAAUAGUAUCUCCACUACAUGAAGAAAAUGUAAGAUUUUGACCAAUAUCACAUGUUUGUCUUUUAUAUUUGCCCCUUUUUUAAAAAAAGGGCUCAAGCACUUUUCAUAAAGUCCGCUCUUCACUUCAUUACACACACAAACCUUUUCAUCCGUGCUGCUCACUUACAGUCAUGGAUUUUCUCCCUCUUGUCGAAGCACAGCGGCUCCUCGUCUCCUGCAGGCUGCAGCCGUGGUGUCGGGGCUCCACCUAGUGGUCACAAGUCAGAACUUCUUCCUGCUGUCCUGCCUGUGCGGCCAGUAGAAGUCUUUUCAAGUUGAACCAAACCAGUUUCAAAUACAUUUGGAAAGUGGUGUGACAUAGAAAGUCACGCAAAUGUAUCUAAGAAUAUACAGGAUAAAGCCUGCUCACUCAGUGUCUGCCCUCACUUUGAUUGCAGUUGGUUUUUAGGUAAAAAUGUACACACACAUAAAGAAAGAUCUACUGAUAGAAUUAUUUUACAACAUAUGGAGCUCAUGGACCAUCACAGCUCCACAUAUGUUGAGUGUUUAGACAAUAAAUCAGAAUCAAUUCGACUUUCUUUGCAGUGGCUUGAUUUAAAAAUGAAUGCUUAAUAAAAAAGCCUUUUGUGUAACA
Molecule: long non-coding RNA, 2647 nt
Organism: Chelmon rostratus (copperband butterflyfish)
Lineage: Eukaryota; Metazoa; Chordata; Actinopteri; Chaetodontiformes; Chaetodontidae
Exons: 2
Source: RefSeq, a predicted model, not a curated record